GCCAGACUCCUACGGGAGGCAGCAGUGAGGAAUAUUGGUCAAUGGCCGGGAGGCUGAACCAGCCAAGUCGCGUGAGGGAGGACGGCCCUACGGGUUGUAAACCUCUUUUGCCGGGGAGCAACGGGCGUCACGUGUGGCGCCACUGAGAGUACCCGGAGAAAAAGCAUCGGCUAACUCCGUGCCAGCAGCCGCGGUAAUACGGAGGAUGCGAGCGUUAUCCGGAUUUAUUGGGUUUAAAGGGUGCGUAGGCGGAUUUUUAAGUCAGCGGUAAAAUGUCCGGGCUCAACCCGGGCCGGCCGUUGAAACUGGGGAUCUUGAGUGGGCGAGAAGUAUGCGGAAUGCGUGGUGCAGCGGUGAAAUGCAUAGAUAUCACGCAGAACUCCGAUUGCGAAGGCAGCAUACCGGCGCCCGACUGACGCUGAGGCACGAAAGCGUGGGGAUCGAACAGGAUUAGAUACCCCAGUAA
Molecule: ribosomal RNA, 466 nt
Filed under: uncultured bacterium
Lineage: Bacteria
Description: bacterial SSU rRNA
Rfam family: Bacterial small subunit ribosomal RNA
Source: RNAcentral